This 492-nucleotide ribosomal RNA is filed under the name uncultured bacterium. RNAcentral describes it as "partial 16S ribosomal RNA". It matches the Rfam family "Bacterial small subunit ribosomal RNA", at positions 29 to 507 of the family's 1533-position model. The record is from RNAcentral.
AGUGAACGCUGGCGGUAGGCCUAACACAUGCAAGUCGAACGGCAGCACAGUAAGAGCUUGCUCUUACGGGUGGCGAGUGGCGGACGGGUGAGGAAUACAUCGGAAUCUACUUUUUCGUGGGGGAUAACGUAGGGAAACUUACGCUAAUACCGCAUACGACCUACGGGUGAAAGCAGGGGAUCUUCGGACCUUGCGCGAUUGAAUGAGCCGAUGUCGGAUUAGCUAGUUGGCGGGGUAAAGGCCCACCAAGGCGACGAUCCGUAGCUGGUCUGAGAGGAUGAUCAGCCACACUGGAACUGAGACACGGUCCAGACUCCUACGGGAGGCAGCAGUGGGGAAUAUUGGACAAUGGGCGCAAGCCUGAUCCAGCCAUACCACGUGGGUGAAGAAGGCCUUCGGGUUGUAAAGCCCUUUUGUUGGGAAAGAAAGGCAGCAGGUUAAUACCCCGCUGUUCUGACGGUACCCAAAGAAUAAGCACCGGCUAACUUCGUG